CACCUCCCCCUUCCGGGUUUACCUGGCUGCAGGUUCGGCAGACGCUCGGCACUCUCUGCAGGGUUGUGCAAAUUGUUCCACCGUGCAGGUGCUGAGGGCCUCACUGGUGAUCCUGUUUGGUGAUGGUGUCCCUUCGUGUGUAGUGUCUUAUUCACUCCCCUCCUUUGUUUUGCUUUGCCCUUGUGUGUUUGGAGUGUUAAUUUUGGAUUGUGGUGCUCCCAUUUUAAGUUUAUACUUUCACCCCUCACUCACCUUGAGCACAAAUGCCCCAGCCCUGGAAUACAUGAUAAUUUAUACAAAUAGGAUAACUUUUUUAGAUUUGAAUUGUGCCCAAUAAACUGUUGUAUAUGCUUUUGGAAACACGUCUCUCGCCUGCUCAGUGUAACGAACUUGUGUUGUCCUUUUGUUUAGAUUUAGUAAUUUACCUUAUUCAUAGAUUUCUUUCUUUUCCCUGGGUGAUUUCUCCCAGGGUGGCGUUGCUGGUUUCCUUUAGUUUCUUUCUUUUUCCCCUAGUUAAAAACAUAGAUUAUUGGGGUAGUUCCUACCCCACCUCACGCUUGCCACAAACUUGGCGUUGCUGGCAGGACUUAUACUGAAAAAAAAAGGGCAGAGACGUGUGUUCCUUUGUUUUUUGUUGUUUGUUUUUUGUUUUUCUGAAUAAGACAAAGCAGCAGCAGUCCCCUGGCAACCAUGGAGGAAGAAAUGCAAGAGUUGCGAGCUCUGGUUGCGCAGUUAAAGGCUGACAAUGAGAGGUUGCGUCAAGCUUCGUUGGUGCCGCCCUCUAGUGCUACACCUUCAACCUCCUCAGUACUGCCGACUGCCCUUACUUCUGCCAGUGCCCCUGCAGCCGAGAGGUUAGUGUUCGUGCCCCGAGACAGAAAGUGCCCUAUGUUUAGAGGAAGGUCAGGGAUAGCUCUGAGCGAGUGGCUUGAAGAGCUACAGUCGUGUAUGCGGGCUCGUCAUUUAGCCCCAGCUGAUCAGGCCUACUUUCUGUAUGACCAUUUAGAGGGAGAAGCACGGGAGGAAAUUAAAUACCGCCCCAGCACAGAGCGCGGGGAUCCAGCUAGACUAAUCACUAUAUUACAAGAACUCUAUGGCUGUUCUGAGUCGUAUGUGGCCUUGCAGGAAGCAUUCUUCUCUCGUAAGCAACAUGAAGGGGAAACGCUACUCGAAUUUUCGCUCGCUCUCAUGAGCCUUAUGGAAAGGGUGAAGCAGCGUGCACCGCCUGGAAUGCUUAAUACAGAUAGUCUGUUGCGGGAUCAGUUUGUUGAGCAGGUCUUAGACAGCAC
Long non-coding RNA from Gasterosteus aculeatus aculeatus (three-spined stickleback), 1289 nucleotides. Lineage: Eukaryota; Metazoa; Chordata; Actinopteri; Perciformes; Gasterosteidae. The record is from Ensembl.